RNAcentral lists this long non-coding RNA (1395 nucleotides) under Taeniopygia guttata (zebra finch). RNAcentral's name for it is "lncRNA (ENSTGUG00000028410.1)". The record is from RNAcentral. Lineage: Eukaryota; Metazoa; Chordata; Aves; Passeriformes; Estrildidae.
UGCAGUAGAAGAUGGGGCUGAUGCUCCACACUCAAGGUGGUUUCUGGUACUUGCUGCCCCUCAAGGCAGGUCUCGGUAGGUGCCUGAUGUGCUGGAAUCAAUGGUGUCCUGGUCUAGUACUCCAUGAGUUGUGACCAGUCCUCCACAGUGGAGUGGAGGGCCCAGAUAGAUUAAAGAAGAUGCAGUAGCUCUGAGUGAGGAAGGGAAUGGUCCUUCAAACUCAUCAGAUGGCUGUGGUGCUCCUGCCACCAGCCCAGGGAGCAUCUCGGCCCCAGGACAGAGCAGCAGCCAAGGGGGAAAUUCACCAGGAACAACUGUCCUCACCUUCUUCCUUCUGACCCUUGAGAAUAAAUGUGACAUGGGACAUCACCUUAGACCAGGAAAAUAAAGCCUCUGAGUUAAUUUCUGCUUCUCCUGACAUCACUUCCAGGCUGCAACUAUAGAAUUUUAUAUUAGCUUUUGUACUGAAUUGCCAGCAGAAAUCCCAGGAGAUUCAGUCUCAAAAGUAUGCCUAAAGAGGGAAUAUGGUCUGGAUGUAAUUUAGCUUCCAUUGCCCAGCAAUUCCAUAGAUCUCUUUGACUUGUGGCAUUAAAUAUAUGGAGCAAACACAUGAAUGGAUUAACAUACACAGUCCUAUAAUUAGCUAUGUUAUUAAAUUUGCUAAGUAGUUGGGGGGAAAGGGGCUUGUUUGCCAUCUGUUUAAAAAGUAUCUCUCUUUCCACUGAAAUCUGGAUAUAAAAAACCCCAGACAUGUGGGCAUGACUGCCUUACAUACAUUACUGGGAUUAUUUCCCUUGAGUUAACCAAGACAAGCAUGAUUCAUAGACCAGUAGAAUGGUGUGCAAAAAUGUGCAUAGCAUUUUUUCACAUAAUGUUCCUUUUCCUUCCCAUUAUAAAUUAUGAAUCAUGUAAACAUCAUGAAUUACAGAGUUUUUUGUUGGUCUGGGGUUUUUCUUUUUUCCCCAUGACCCAAAAAACUACUUAAUAGAAAAGCAAUUAUAACAGGCAGUAUGGUAAAUUCUGCCAUGAAAAUUAUUUUUUAAUUCUACUCUUGUCACUAUGUAACCACACAAACUCAGACACACACAUACACACACACACACACAAACACACACACAUUUCCACUGACUCUGAAUACAGAGCAAGUUUGUAUCACGAGAAAGAAAAAUUGACACUGGUUACAAAAGAGAUGCAUAUUAAAUAUAUAAUAAUUAGCCUCAGCUAUGUAGAAAUUGUCUAAAAGUAUGAAAACAAGCUGAGCUCUAAAUAGCUUAGAGUAAGGCCCUGGUUCACAAACUCUUCAGUAGAGCUCUGUCACUUGAUCCAUAGACUCACAAAAGCUUGAACAGUAGGAGCACAAGAAAAAGACAGCAUAAAAGAAAAAAAAAAAAAAAA